GACACGACCGUACCGCAAACCGACACUGGUGCGCGAGAUGAGUAUUCUAAGGCGCUUGAGAGAACUCAGGAGAAGGAACUCGGCAAAUUGACACCGUAACUUCGGAAGAAGGUGUGCCUUUAGUAGGUGAACCAUUUACUUGGGGAGCCCAAUGAGGCUGCAAAAAAUCGGUGGCUGCAACUGUUUAUUAAAAACACAGCACUCUGCUAAGACGAAAGUCGACGUAUAGGGUGUGACGCCUGCCCGGUGCUGGAAGAUUAAGUGAUGGGGUGCAAGCUCUUGAUUGAAGUCCCAGUAAACGGCGGCCGUAACGAUAACGGUCCUAAGGUAGCGAAAUUCCUUGUCGGGUAAGUUCCGACCUGCACGAAUGGCGUAAUGAUGGCCACACUGUCUCCUCCUGAGACUCAGCGAAGUUGAAAUGUUUGUGAUGAUGCAAUCUCCCCGCGGAAAGACGGAAAGACCCCAUGAACCUUUACUGUAGCUUUGUAUUGGACUUUGAACAGAUCUGUGUAGGAUAGGUGGGAGGCUUUGAAGUGUGGUCGCUAGAUCGCAUGGAGCCAACGUUGAAAUACCACCCUGGUGUGUUUGAGGUUCUAACCUAGGUCCAUUAUCUGGAUCGGGGACAGUGCAUGGUAGGCAGUUUGACUGGGGCGGUCUCCUCCCAAAGUGUAACGGAGGAGUUCGAAGGUACGCUAGGUACGGUCGGACAUCGUGCUAAUAGUGCAAUGGCAUAAGCGUGCUUAACUGCGAGACUGACAAGUCGAGCAGAUGCGAAAGCAGGACACAGUGAUCCGGUGGUUCUGUAUGGAAGGGCCAUCGCUCGACGGAUAAAAGGUACUCUGGGGAUAACAGGCUGAUACCGCCCAAGAGUUCAUAUCGACGGCGGUGUUUGGCACCUCGAUGUCGGCUCAUCUCAUCCUGGGGCUGUAGCCGGUCCCAAGGGUAUGGCUGUUCGCCAUUUAAAGAGGUACGUGAGCUGGGUUUAAAACGUCGUGAGACAGUUUGGUCCCUAUCUUCCGUGGGCGCUGCAGAUUUGAGGAAGCCUGCUCCUAGUACGAGAGGACCGGAGUGGACGAACCUCUGGUGUAUCGGUUGUCACGCCAGUGGCAUUGCCGAGUAGCUAAGUUCGGAAGAGAUAACCGCUGAAAGCAUCUAAGCGGGAAACUCGUUUCAAGAUUAGAUCUGCCGGGGCCUUGAGCCCCCUAAAGAGUCGUUCAAGACCAGGACGUUGAUAGGUCAGGUGUGGAAGCCAAAAA
RNAcentral lists this ribosomal RNA (1256 nucleotides) under metagenome. RNAcentral's name for it is "bacterial LSU rRNA". It matches the Rfam family "Bacterial large subunit ribosomal RNA", at positions 1635 to 2880 of the family's 2925-position model. The record is from RNAcentral.